This 250-nucleotide ribosomal RNA is filed under the name uncultured bacterium. RNAcentral's name for it is "partial 16S ribosomal RNA". It matches the Rfam family "Bacterial small subunit ribosomal RNA", at positions 779 to 1029 of the family's 1533-position model. The record is from RNAcentral.
UAGAUACCCUGGUAGUCCACGCCGUAAACGAUGAGUGCUAGGUGUUAGGGGGGAGCACCCCUUAGUGCUGAAGUCAACACAUUAAGCACUCCGCCUGGGGAGUACGACCGCAAGGUUGAAACUCAAAGGAAUUGACGGGGGCCCGCACAAGCAGUGGAGCAUGUGGUUUAAUUCGAAGCAACGCGAAGAACCUUACCAGGUCUUGACAUCCCUCUGAUGGGUUCAGAGAUGGACCGUUCCUUCGGGACAG